RNAcentral lists this long non-coding RNA (503 nucleotides) under Homo sapiens (human). Its description in RNAcentral is "HSALNT0245499". The record is from RNAcentral. Lineage: Eukaryota; Metazoa; Chordata; Mammalia; Primates; Hominidae.
AAAGUAAUUAUGUUUUAUUUUAAUGAGACAUUAACUUUUCAAAGUUAAUUAUCUCUUAACCAAUAAACACAAUCCAUAUUCACAACCAUGUUGAUGAACAAAACCAAACUCUGCAAGAUAUUUAAAGAGGUUUAUUCUGAGCCAAUAUGAGUGACCAUGGCUGGGAGAACAAUCCCAAGAGGUCCUGAGAAAGUGUGGUCAGUUACAGCUUGGUUUUACACAUUUAGGGAGACAGAAGUUGCAGGCCAAGACAUAAAUCAGUAUGUUAGAGUAGGCAGUUAGGCAGAACUGAGCAGGGCAGGAGAGGGCCCCUAUCAGGUCGUCAGGCAACCAUCAGGUGAUGGUCAGGCAGUUGUUAAACUGUGUCGCUAAAAUGAUAAUUGGUUGCAGCUGGUUCCAGGGACCUGCAGUCUCCCAGUAGAUAGAAAAUACCUGGAGCUAGUGAUCAGCAGCUUCCUGAUAAGAUCUUUUCAAAAUCAAUAUUUCAUUUCAGCAUCUUGUUA